This 440-nucleotide ribosomal RNA is filed under the name uncultured bacterium. RNAcentral's name for it is "partial 16S ribosomal RNA". It matches the Rfam family "Bacterial small subunit ribosomal RNA", at positions 338 to 795 of the family's 1533-position model. The record is from RNAcentral.
CCUACGGGUGGCAGCAGUAGGGAAUUUUGCUCAAUGGGGGAAACCCUGAAGCAGCAACGCCGCGUGGGGGAUGAAGGUUUUCGGGUUUUAAACUCCUUUUGUUAGGGAAGAUAAUUACGAAGUCUAACGCAUAAGCACCAGCUAACGCCGGGCCAGCAGCCGCGGUAAUACUGAGGGUGCAAGCGUUACUCGGAAUCACUGGGCGUAAAGGUCGCGUAGGCGGGAUAGCAAGUCAGAUGUGAAAUCCUAUGGCUUAACCAUAGAACUGCAUUUGAAACUGUUAUUCUAGAGUAUGGGAGAGGUAAGUGGAAUUCUUGGUGUAGGGGUAAAAUGCGUAGAGAUCGAGAGGAACACGCAUUGCGAAGGCGAGUUGCUAGAACAUAACUGACGCUGAGGCGCGAAAGCGAGGGGAGCAAAAAGGAUUAGAUACCCUUGUGGUC